AAUGAACGCUGGCGGCAUGCCUAACACAUGCAAGUCGAACGAAGGCUUCGGCCUUAGUGGCGCACGGGUGCGUAACGCGUGGGAAUCUACCCCUUGGUUCGGAAUAACAGCGAGAAAUUGCUGCUAAUACCGGAUAAUGACGUAAGUCCAAAGAUUUAUCGCCGAGGGAUGAGCCCGCGUAGGAUUAGCUAGUUGGUGUGGUAAAGGCGCACCAAGGCGACGAUCCUUAGCUGGUCUGAGAGGAUGAUCAGCCACACUGGGACUGAGACACGGCCCAGACCCCUACGGGAGGCAGCAGUGGGGAAUAUUGGACAAUGGGCGAAAGCCUGAUCCAGCAAUGCCGCGUGAGUGAUGAAGGCCUUAGGGUUGUAAAGCUCUUUUACCCGGGAUGAUAAUGACAGUACCGGGAGAAUAAGACUCCGGCUAACUCCGUGCCAGCAGCCGCGGUAAU
RNAcentral lists this ribosomal RNA (451 nucleotides) under uncultured bacterium. RNAcentral describes it as "bacterial SSU rRNA". It matches the Rfam family "Bacterial small subunit ribosomal RNA", at positions 29 to 524 of the family's 1533-position model. The record is from RNAcentral.